Molecule: ribosomal RNA, 492 nt
Filed under: uncultured bacterium
Lineage: Bacteria
Description: partial 16S ribosomal RNA
Rfam family: Bacterial small subunit ribosomal RNA
Source: RNAcentral
AGUGAACGCUGGCGGUAGGCCUAACACAUGCAAGUCGAACGGCAGCACAGUAAGAGCUUGCUCUUACGGGAGGCGAGUGGCGGACGGUUGAGGAAUACAUCGGAAUCUACUUUUUCGUGGGGGAUAACGUAGGGAAACUUACGCUAAUAACGCAUACGACCUACGUGUGAAAGCAGGGGAUCUUCGGACCUUGCGCGAUUGAAUGAGCCGAUGUCGGAUUAGCUAGUUGGCGGGGUAAAGGCCCACCAAGGCGACGAUCCGUAGCUGGUCUGAGAGGAUGAUCAGCCACACUGGAACUGAGACCCGGUCCAGACUCCUACAGGAGGCAGCAGUGGGGAAUAUUGGACGAUGGACGCGUGCCUAAUCCAGCCAUACCGCGUGGGUGAAGAAGGCCUUCUGGUUGUAAAGCCCUUUUGUUGGGAAAGAAAAGCAGCAGGUUAAUACCCCGCUGUUCUGACGGUACCCAAAGAAUAAGCACCGGCUAACUUCGUG